AGUGAACGCUGGCGGUAGGCCUAACACAUGCAAGUCGAACGGCAGCACAGUAAGAGCUUGCUCUUACGGGUGGCGAGUGGCGGACGGGUGAGGAAUACAUCGGAAUCUACUUUUUCGUGGGGGAUAACGUAGGGAAACUUACGCUAAUACCGCAUACGACCUACGGGUGAAAGCAGGGGAUCUUCGGACCUUGCGCGAUUGAAUGAGCCGAUGUCGGAUUAGCUAGUUGGCGGGGUAAAGGCCCACCAAGGCGACGAUCCGUAGCUGGUCUGAGAGGAUGAUCAGCCACACUGGAACUGAGACACGGUCCAGACGCCUGCGGGAGGCAGCAGUGGGGAAUAGUGGACAAGGGGCGAAAGCCUGAUCCAGCCAUACCGCGUGGGUGAAGAAGGCCUUCGGGUUGUAAAGCCCUUUUGUUGGGAAAGAAAAGCAGCAGGCUAAUACCCCGCGGUACUGACGGUACCCAAAGAAUAAGCACCGGCUAACUACGUG
This 492-nucleotide ribosomal RNA is filed under the name uncultured bacterium. RNAcentral's name for it is "partial 16S ribosomal RNA". It matches the Rfam family "Bacterial small subunit ribosomal RNA", at positions 29 to 507 of the family's 1533-position model. The record is from RNAcentral.